UAAAGUCAGCUAUUUUAAGCUAAUGAGUUCAUACCUCAUAAAUGAAUUAA
RNAcentral lists this transfer RNA (50 nucleotides) under Oxytate striatipes. RNAcentral's name for it is "tRNA-Met". Lineage: Eukaryota; Metazoa; Arthropoda; Arachnida; Araneae; Thomisidae. The record is from RNAcentral.